GCUGUGGUAUGUGCCGCUCCUGUCCAACUUUUGCUCUUAUCUACUCCUACACAGUAAACUGCUCAGUGGUUAUAACUGCAUGAAGUGAUUACAUAGAUUAGAAUGGAACUGAUUGUCGGUGCUUGAUGAGGUUGGAGGAAGUGAGGACGGGUAUUACGAGGUUGUUGGAGGGAUAAUUCCGACUCCUCUUGUAGUGAAGGAUACUAGAUAAGUGAAAACAUGUGGUAUAUUGCUUGGUUUUGCUGGACAUCAGAGAAAAGUUGAAAAAUAUACAGGUUAUGGCUGUUUUUUCCUCCUAGCUGAUGACAAAUUUUGAGAAGUUGGAUAGAUAAAAACAAGUAUUUUUCAUUUUGAGGUCUCGGAAUCAAGGUUUAGACUCCAUUACUCGAGUCAGAGUCUUCAUGGACUUGUAUUUUGAUAAAGUCUUUUCUAUUAAUCCAAUUAAGAUGUCCUUUUUGGCUUGCAUAACCCCAUAUUCCAGAAUGCUCCACAUAUAUACCGUUCUCAUAUGGCAUGUCAGGCUGAUCCUUACCUGAAGAACAAAAAAAACCAAAUUUUUACCUCCGCCUAUGUUUGAGUUAUACUGUAACACAGCCGGUCUUUCCUAUUUAGUAGUAAUAGCUUUACUACAAAUUUCCCUAAUCGCUUCCAUUGUUUUCUUUUGUGAAUUGCAGUUAAUUAGGUGCUUUCUGGUUCCAUUAAAGCGGAAAAUAUUGAAGCCAUAUAUCACACUUUUAAGGACUCUGCUUUUAUUAGUAAACCAGCUGGAGGAACUUUACAGUUCUAAAUUGCGGGGGGUUAAAGCCUUCUUUUGAUUUUGUUUCUCACCGUGUUAGCCGCAUAUAGGUGCUUUUGAUGUCUAUCUUUUUAUAUAAAGUGGUCAACGCCUCGUUUCAAGUUACCAGUUAGUUAGUCUAUAUAUACAUUGAUGUGAACUGAGCAUGUUCAGCGAUCCUUUUAGACCUACCUUUUUGCAAAAUUCAAGUCUGCUCUAUGACUAUUUUUUUGGCAUCCUGCAUAAAAAAAUAAAAAAAUAUAGCUACUUAUUCUAAUAGGGUAUUAAGAUGUUAAAUGCAAGGAUAGUUGUUAGCGGCUUGUUAGGACAUUGAAGAGGGCUAUUGUUCUCAUAGGUGUUGAAAUACAGGUGGAUCUAAUUGCAGCCAUGUAAAUCGAUAAAUUAGUGUUCCAUGUGUUGUCACAAUUUGUUGACUUGCAUUUUUCAAAAGUGAUCAGGCAUAAUGAUAACUUGGUUUUGAGUUGUGUUGAAAUUUCUUUCUUUUAGAUGUGAAUUCUUUUAAUUUCGCUGCUGAAAGUGAGAAGAGUCUAUUCCAAUAGUGUGUUUUCUCUUGUAAUAAAAUUUAGACUUAUUUUCGUGU
This is a non-coding RNA of Nicotiana tabacum (common tobacco), 1376 nucleotides long. NCBI's taxonomy places the organism in Eukaryota, Viridiplantae, Streptophyta, Magnoliopsida, Solanales, Solanaceae. The record is from RefSeq and is a predicted model, not a curated record.